UGUUCACAUAUAAUGUCUGAGCACUAGAGAUGGGAAUUUCGGUUCUUUCAGCUGACUUGGAUCUUUAACUCUCGAUCAGUGAAGUGUUGGGGGACCUCAUAUGUAUAAUCUGUUAUUAACAGAAUUAUUAUUAAGGUCCCACAUGCUCAGACAAAGGAAAUACUGCGGCCUGCAUGUAAAGUCCUCAUCCUGAUAGUAGUGAAUGAGAACAAAGAGAUUUCAAAUCUCGGCGCCAAAACCAGGCGCCAGGCUGGGGAACCACACCUGGCUCCCCGCUGUGAAGGCCGAAACCCCGCUGACACAAGCGACAAACGGAGGAGAAACUUGGACGUCAGCCAUCCUGAUUGGACCAAACAAUAGGAUGGGCGUGACCAAAAACACGGUUAUAAAAGUCGCCGUGACCCAAGACUCGUCCCUUGUCCUCUUCGAUCACCCGUUACCCCUUGUUCUCUUCGAUCUCCCGUUUCCCCUUCCUCUCUUCGACCCUCUCGCUGCCCCACCUGGAGCUUCCCUCGGCACCAGCACGCCUGAAGCCUCCACCGCAGCCAGCAGCUGAACCAACGGAGACGUCGUCACAGAGAACGGGCCUGAUCACCCAUCUACUUCCAGCCAUACGGCAGGAAACCGCCAGCUUAACCGCCUCACUCGCCGCCGCAUCAGCUGAUCACGACGCGAUCACCGCGACGCACACCUGGACCGGACCGGACCGCAACAGAGCAAGCACGCACGCACGCACGCACGCAACGCCGGAGCUUCUCACCAGGAUUGAGCAGUAAGGCAGAGGCAUUCUUAAGUCUGAGCAGAGUAGAACUCUUAGGGUAUCAGUAAUUGUUUUAUUGUUGUGUUUCUUUUCCUGCACACACGAUCUGACCGCUGUGUAUUUCCGCGAUCACGUGACUGUAACGCUGUUACAGAUCUACGUGAAUCUAAGAGGUGCACAUUGAAGUGUUGUAACCUGUGAUUUCGCUAGCUUAAGUGCUUUAUUGUGUUACUGUGUAGUGCUCUGUUUCUGCUGCGACCACGCCAAGCGCACGUUUCAACCACUGCACGCUUCCGCGAUCACGUGACUAUAUCGCAGAAUAUAGCCCCACGUGUUUGUGUGACCACGAGCCUUAUCCACGCUAGUCCCACUUCACACUCCUUUACACGCUUCUUUCCCUGUGAGCGCCAGACACGCGCGCUCCAUUCAAAGGGCUCACCGGCACACGCGCGCAGCUGUGCCACCUCACCACGCCCCUAAAGGGGGGCGCUCUCCUCCUCCUCCUCUUCUCUCUUUCUCUCUCUCUCUCUCACCCUCACACACAUAUACACACACACACACACACACACACACCCCUCUUAUCUCAGGUAACGCGCAUACACAUACAGAACGCUAGACGAACACACCAUAUAAUUAAGUUGUGAUUUGCUGAGUUAUUCAAGAUAGUGUUGACACUAGAGUUAAUAUUAACUGUUUAAUAAAGCGUUCAUAAUUUAACUAGUCGUUGUUUGU
Molecule: long non-coding RNA, 1492 nt
Filed under: Betta splendens (Siamese fighting fish)
Lineage: Eukaryota; Metazoa; Chordata; Actinopteri; Anabantiformes; Osphronemidae
Description: lncRNA (ENSBSLG00000015481.1)
Source: RNAcentral